AGUACAUCUGGUUGAAAGAGAAAAGGCAGAGAGAAAAGCAGACUUUUCGGAGAAGUUGUUCUCAGGCACUAACAGAUUCAUCCCUUAUAGGCAUAUGAAUGGACAAUAAGAUUUCUUGGAUAUUUUCAUGGCGAAGGAUAAGAGUGAAGCUAUCCUGGCCAAGAACUUUGAGAGAGACACCACUUUUCACUCUGAAGGACCAAAAAAUGAGUAGAAAAUUUGGAAUAAAUGUCAACAAGAUUUGAACCCUAAAGAAAAACAAGCAUCUGAAUUAGACAGACGUCCAUAUUCAUUCAGCUGGGAAACUAAAACUCUGCAGUCCCAAUAUCAGAAUUUCCUUGGUCAGUUGGCUACUGUGUGACAGUAUUCUUCUGCAUGACGGCAUUGUCUCUCUACCAACUACAGAGGAGGCUGGUAAAGAGAGGAUUCGGAAAAUUGGUGCAAAUAAGAAAUCUUGGAAAUCUUGAAAGAAGAGAAGAGGCUGUUCAUUAUUAUAUUGGAGGUAGUGCAGCAUGUUUGUUAAGAGCGCGGAGCCCCAGCAUGAAGCCUAGCUCUGCCAUUUGCCAGCUGUGUGCUCUUGGGCAGAUUACUUAUCCUCUCUGUGCCUCAUUUUCAUUUGUGAAGUGGGGGACGGUGUGUAGUUCCCACCUCACAGAGUGAUUGCAGAGUUAACACAUGAUAAAUGCUUAGUUUAGUAUAAGUUCAAUAAAAAUCAAAAUGGGCCGGGUGUGGUGGCUCACGCCUGUAAUCCCAGCACUUUGGGAGGCAGAGACGGGAGGAUCACGAGGUCAGGAGAUCGAGAACAUCCUGGCUAACACGGUGAAACCCCGUCUCUACUAAAAAUACAAAUGUUAACUGGGCAUGGUGAUGUGCACCUCUAAUCUCAGCUACUUGGGAGGCUGAGGCAGGAGAAUCACUUGAACCAGGGAGGUGGAGGUUGCAGUGAGCUGAGAUUGUGGCACUGCACACCAGCCUGGGCAACAGAGCUAGACUCUGUCUCAAAAAUAAAUAAAUAAAUAUACAUUUUACUAGUUUAUUUUGGUUUAUAUAUAAUGACUAUAUAUAGUAUGUUUAUUAAAUCUGCACCCUACUUUCUCUUUUCCCUUCUUAAGUUAAUGUGCUUUUUUUGUCUUUUGUUUUUAAAUCAGAAAAGGAGUAAGUACUAUUAAACGUUUCUCUGUAGCUUGUCCAAUAGAUUUUUAUAAGACAUGUUUGUUUUCACUAUGUUCUAUGUAUUUUUGUAAUUUUAGUGUUGAUUUCCAUUUUUUGAACUGAAGGUAUUUAGAAUUUUUGCUUGUUUGUUUUUUGUUUUUGGGACAGAGUUUCACUCUUGCUGCCCAGGCUGGAGUGCAGUGGUGCAAUCUCGGCUCACUGCAACCUCCGCCUCCUCCCAGGUUCAAGCAAUUCUCCUGCUUCAGCCUCCCUAGUAGCUGGGAUUACAGGUGCGCACCACCAUACCCAGCAAAUUUUUGUAUUUUUAGUAGAGACAGGGUUUCAUCACCUUGGCCAGGCUGGUCUCAAACUCCUGACCUCAAGUGAUCCACCUGCCUCAGCCUCCCAAAGUGCUGGGAUUACAGGCGUGAGCCACUGCACCCAGCCUAGAAUUUUUUUUAACCCUUUACACACACACACACACAUUUCAUAAUCAAAUAUACCAAGAGUAUUUUAUUGAAAAGGAGCAGCCCUCUUCUGUACUUCUCUUUUUUCCCAGAGGGAGCUCUUUUUAACUCUUUUAGCUGUUUCUGGUAGUAACUUCCAUUUUCCUAAAUAAUUUUAAACCACCUUAUCUCGAGUUAUCUAUAUUAGACAUGUUGUUGAUUUCCUGUUAUCUGAUAGAUGAAAUUUCAUCUCUCUCUUUUUUUUUUUUUUUUUUUUUUUGAGACAGAAUUUCAUUCUUAUCACCCAGGUUGGAGUGCAGUGGCACAAUCUCGGCUCACUGCAACCUCCGCCUUCCGGGUUCAAGUGAUUCUCCUGCCUCAGCCUCCCGAGUAGCUGGGAUUACAGGCAUGCAUCACCAGGCCUAGCUAAUUUUGUAUUUUUAGUAGAGACGGGGUUUCUCCAUGUUGGUCAGGCUGGUCUCGAACUCCCGACCUCAGGUGAUCUGCCUGCCUUGCCCUCCCAAAGUACUGGGAUUACAAGAGUGAGCCACUGCGCCCAGUCUGAAAUUUCAUCUCUCUUAUACCACUUUCCUACCUGCUCCUUUCUCAUCUUUCCAAUAUGGUUAUAUUGAUAUUUUAAGCUAAAUGCAUAAUCAGCAUUUACAUUACCGUGAUACUAAAUGUUUACAGAAGCGUGAAGUACUAUAUUCUUGGUACAUUUUCUUUAUUGUAUUGCAUUUUAUUUUUCCUGUAGCUAAUACCUUCCUUAUAUUUUCAUACAUUUAAUUUUCAGCAUUCAUUUAUUAAGGUUUUUUCCUGCCCAAAUCUGUAUCAGAUGAUCCUUUAGUCUGUAAAAAUCUCCCAUUUUUUCUCUCCCAAAGUUCUUCAUUCCCUUGCUGCAGUCUGGAUUUUGCUCUGUGGGCCUGGGCACAUCUAUGAUCCUGUGACUUUCCUUCUCUAAUCUCCUGGUUAGGUUUCAUUGUUUGCCAAAUCACAUUUCUUCCUCUUUUUUGGUUUCCUUUCUUAUUUUACUGGAACACAUCCUCCAAUGGCUUCCCAAGAAAUGGUGCCUUGUAGAGAGACAUUUUUUGAGGUCCUUGUGUGAAUGACAAUGUCUUUGAAUCAUCAUACUCAAUUGAUAGCUGGGUUUAGACUUUAUUUUCAAACACAGACUCCAUUGUUUUCUAGUCUCUAGGAUUGUUAUUGAGAAAAAUGUGCCAUUUUGAUUCUUGUUCCUUAAUACGUUAUUUUAGUUCUUUUAAUUGAUUAAAACAUUUACUACACUUUUUUUGUAAUAACAUUUUAGAUAACUAAUUUUUUUCUCAUAAUAAAAUUAAUUCAGCUGGACAUGGUGGCUCACGUCCAUAAUUCCAGCACUUAGGGAGGCUGAGGUGGGUGGAUAGCUGGAGCCCAGGAAUUUUAGAUCAGCCUGGACAGCAUGGCAACACCCCAUCUCUACAAAAUAUUCAAAAACUAGCCAGGCGUGGUACACACCUGUAGUCCCAGCUACUGGGGAGGCUGAGGUGGGAGGAUGGGUUGAGAAUGGGAGGUCGAGGCUGCAGUGUGUUGUGAUUGCACCACUGCACUCUAGCCUGAGCAACAGAGUGAGACCCUGUCUCAAAAAAUAAAAAAAUCAUGUGUAUUAGUGAAGAUUUGUAAAGUAGAAAAUAAUAGAAAUAAAAUUGAAAUCACCAGUACUGCUACCAUAUUGCUAUAACUAAUAUUAAAUAUAGGUACAUUUGCCUCUGGUUAUUUUCCAUGUAUUUUUUUUUUAUCAUAAUCGAGUUAUGCAUAGUUUUUCUUUUUUUUUUUUUUUUUUUGAGACGGAGUCUGGCUCUGUCACCCAGACUGGAGUACAGUGGCCGGAUCUCAGCUCACUGCAAGCUCGGUCUCCCAGGUUCACGCCAUUCUCCUGCCUCAGCCUCCCGAAUAGCUGGGACUACAGGCGCCCGCCACCUCGCCCGGCUAGUUUUUUGUAUUUUUUUAGUAGAG
This 3590-nucleotide long non-coding RNA is filed under the name Rhinopithecus bieti (black snub-nosed monkey). Its description in RNAcentral is "lncRNA (ENSRBIG00000045767.1)". The record is from RNAcentral. Lineage: Eukaryota; Metazoa; Chordata; Mammalia; Primates; Cercopithecidae.